UCAGGUGAUCUGCCUGCCUUGGCCUCCCAAAGUGCUGAGAUUACAGGCAGGAGACACCGCGCCUGGCCAUUUAAACAGUUCUUGAUCAGUAGUUACUGCUUUAUCACUAGACUCUCAGUGAAUAAUCAGAGGCCAAAACAUUUGGGAAAUUAGAGAGAUGCAAGAGUUCUGUGCUUUAAAGGGUGCCACAUGCAGUCAGAAGACUUUUCUGAAUUUCUACUCGUGGGCAGAUAGAUUGUGGAUCCCUUGCCAAAGGUUUUCUGUAUUUAUCCUCUUGAAUCUGGAUCCAGUUGAAUAGUCAACAGGGGAGUCCAAAUGAGGGAGAUGAAAAUACUAUCAUUAUUACUGACAAAGCUGAUUAGAAAACAUGACUUUAUAUUUGCGCCCAAGUAUCUUCGCUGGUAUAUCCCUCCUGAAGUAGACAGGUCUGCCCACCAGCACAGCUGAGUAACUGCCGGCUUCUUACUGCGUGGCAGAGAGUAGAACGGGAUGGACCUGUGUAGACGGCCAGGUCUGAAGAGAGGAGAGCAGAAGGGGCCGAACUGAGUGUGUUCACCGCUUUCUUCAAAAUCUGCCAGUGAUGUCACUCACAAGGGAGGGAAACAGGAAACACAGGCACAGAAAUGUGAAGAAUGAGAAUGUCACCUUAACAAAGGGAACAUUUUAUAGGGAUACAGGAGGCCCAUAAUCAAGUUCGUGUUUCGUAACUUUUAGCAGUUAGCUAUCCUUUCUGGCAUGAACUUUAAAAACAGAUGUACUAGGGUUUGAAUUCUGCCUGUGUCACUUAAUUGCACUGGCUCAGGCAUCCUAGAAUUUCUAAGAGCCGUAAAACAGAUAAAACUACUUUGCACGAAAAAUUGACCACUGACUUCUCUCCCCUGUUCUAUUGAUAUAGCAUUAAAUUUAUUAAUGUUUGUUUUUGUCAAACUUCAGUAGUGUUAGAGGUAUGAGAUCAGCCUUAGUUGAUUAGUAAGAAAGAUUUUAUUUACCUAAGAUAGCAAGAGAGAUAUGCCUUUAAUCUUUGUUAUUUAUGGGAAAAUAAUUUAUUAACCUAAUUUUUAUUGUCACUUCUAAAUACAUGGUUGUCCUGUUAAUGGCGACCUUUUUUUCCUCUGAGCAUCUGCAACAGUCUCUUUUUUCAUGUAUGGGAAGUGGUAAUAGUUUUUCUCGUGUAUCAGGCAACUAACAACUUAUUUUAGACCAGAAAUUCUUAGAAAUGGUACCUAUCCAGUUGGCAUAAAAUUUGCAAGCGCUAUUCUGUUGUUUCCUGAAAAAGAUGCAGUUGCUUUACUCAUAGAGUUAUCAGUUAUUUUUCUGGCUAUUUUACUUGAAGUAGCCAUGCUUUGUCUUUUUUUCUAUGGAGAUACAUGGCUGAAAGUAAGUCUUUUCACCAGCUGGAUAAUACGAAAUUUGAUAAAAUUUGAGUAAUAUAAAAACUUUCCCAUUGGCUUUAUAUGAUUGAAUUUCCACUAUGUAAAAUUAAACUAGUUAUUUCUUAUGCUACCCAAUAUAUAGUUUAUUAUUUGAAAACUGUACCCCCCAUUUUCCCUCAAGAACAUCAUUUUGUCUUUUGCAUCUCAGUGCAGGGGUUGGAUAGCGUAAUUUCUUCUCCUAGAAACCCAUUUUCUGCUGCUUGUAGCUACUAUUUCUGUUUUUUCAUCAACCGCUACAGGAAGAUGUGGAGUUCCUGCCAUCUCUCUGUAAUCAGUGGUAUCAUCACAUACCCCAUGUGUACUUUUUGUUUUGAAGUUAGUGCUGCUGACCUGCCCCUUCAGUACCUUGAGCUUGACCUCUAGCUUUCAGCAGCAAAGGCCUCAAGAAAAUCAGUUGCCAGAGUCAGUCUGUUUGCUUGUGUCCUCCUAACCCACUGAUCCUUGACAUUGUGUUGUUUCUCAGAGAAGUAAAGCAAUUUUUUUUUUUUUUUUUUUUUUGAGAUAGUCUUACUCUGUCACCCAGGCUGGAGUGCAGUGGCGGGAUUUUGGCUCACUGCAACCACCUCCCGGGUUCGAGGGAUUCUCAUGCCUCAGCCUCCCGAGUAGCUGGGAUUACAGGCGCCCACCACCACGCCUGGCUAAUUUGUGUAUUUUUAGUAGAGAUGGGUUUCACCAUGUUGGUCAGGCUGGUCUCGAACUCCUGACCUCAAGUGAUCUGCCCACCUUGCCCUCCCACAGUGCUGGGAUUACAGGCGUGAGCCACCACACCCGGCCAAAGCAGUUGUUCUAAUAUAUAAGCAUUUAAUAUAUUGACUUUGGUUGAUUCUUACCUCACUUCCAAGAUAAUUGCUUCUGUUAAAUUACAUUCAUUUUUAGGCUUGAGUCAUCCACUAUAUUUAUGAGUUGGUCAGUUCUUUCAUGAGUUGAGCUUGUUUUUAAAACUUUUACUUUUGAAGUCCCCUUCUGUUUCUACUGCAGCCACUUGCACUAUAACAUUUCUCAUGUUAUUCCUGACAGCCAGUCUUCUUAACGCUCAGUUAUGACUUUUGACAGGUGACAGCAGUAUCACUUAGGACCGUCUUAGUUCAUUUUUAAUGAAAAUCCAAAAGAUGCUCCUAUUGCAAUAAAAGCAUAAGAAAAUAGUAAUAGAAUAAAGGUUUAUUCUGUCAAUAGGCAGUUUGGGGCUGCUGCAGUGGCUCCACGAUACCAAAUGGUCCUGGGCUCUAUCUUUCUUUUCCACUAUCCUUAGUAUAUGGCCUUCUUCCUCAUGCUUGCAAAAAUGGUGGCAUACAGAAGCCUUUCAUACAUGUUCCAGAAUAUGAAGAAAGACAGGGAAAAAGGGACGUGCCAACUGGUUAAACAACAAUAACCAUAUCAAAGACCCACCGCCUAGAUUUCCUCUUCUUGCUGGCCAGAACUUUGUAGCAUGCCCACCCAGUGUACACAGCAGGCUGCACAGUAGCCUGGAAUAUCAGUUUUAGUUGGGCAGUGAGUAUAUCCAGUGCAAAACCCAGAUCCCACGAGCAAAGGAUGGUGAAGAGUAGACGGAUAUUAAACAGAGAAGGAGCAGUGACUGCCUCAGCUUUCCUGUUCAGAAACACGUUAUAACUCCAUAUAUUGCUUUAAUUCUGUCUAUCCUAGACAGACUCACAAGACUAGAACCAGACCUUUAGAGGCACUAACCAACCACUGAAAAGAGGCUAAUCACCUCCCAUAUGUAAAUCAAAUUGU
Cercocebus atys (sooty mangabey) is the source of this 3164-nucleotide long non-coding RNA. RefSeq lists it as uncharacterized. NCBI's taxonomy places the organism in Eukaryota, Metazoa, Chordata, Mammalia, Primates, Cercopithecidae. The record is from RefSeq and is a predicted model, not a curated record. The transcript is spliced from 2 exons.